RNAcentral lists this ribosomal RNA (253 nucleotides) under uncultured bacterium. RNAcentral's name for it is "partial 16S ribosomal RNA". It matches the Rfam family "Bacterial small subunit ribosomal RNA", at positions 524 to 776 of the family's 1533-position model. The record is from RNAcentral.
UACGGGGGGGGCAAGCGUUGUUCGGAAUUACUGGGCGUAAAGGGUUCGUAGGUGGCUUGCUAAGUCAGACGUGAAAUCCCUCAGCUUAACUGGGGAACUGCGUCUGAGACUGGCAAGCUUGAGUGCAGGAGAGGAACGCGGAAUUCCAGGUGUAGCGGUGAAAUGCGUAGAUAUCUGGAGGAACACCGGUGGCGAAGGCGGCAUCCUGGACCGGCAUUGACGCUGAGGCGCGAAAGCUAGGGGAGCAAACGGG